UGGCUCAGUGGUAGAGCACCUGCCUUGCAUGCAUGAGUCCCUAGGUUCGAUUCCUCA
RNAcentral lists this transfer RNA (57 nucleotides) under Dipodomys ordii (Ord's kangaroo rat). It matches the Rfam family "tRNA", at positions 8 to 63 of the family's 71-position model. From Rfam's summary of the family: Transfer RNA (tRNA) molecules are approximately 80 nucleotides in length. Their secondary structure includes four short double-helical elements and three loops (D, anti-codon, and T loops). The record is from Rfam by way of RNAcentral. Lineage: Eukaryota; Metazoa; Chordata; Mammalia; Rodentia; Heteromyidae.